This 1217-nucleotide ribosomal RNA is filed under the name Okiscarta uchidae. Its description in RNAcentral is "SSU rRNA". It matches the Rfam family "Eukaryotic small subunit ribosomal RNA", at positions 694 to 1789 of the family's 1831-position model. Lineage: Eukaryota; Metazoa; Arthropoda; Insecta; Hemiptera; Cercopidae. The record is from RNAcentral.
CGCUGUCGGUUCGCCGCCCGUCGGUGUUAACUGGCAUGUCCUGUGGAACGUCCUGCCGGUGGCGGUCCGGGCUCUCGGCUUGCGUAAAGGCUUGCGCCCGAAGCAGGUCGAACAGUUCCGGCCGCCGGUCCAAUCCCGCCACGGUGCUCUUUACCGAGUGUCGAGGUGGGCCGGCACGUUUACUUUGAACAAAUUAGAGUGCUUAAAGCAGGCUGGUGUCCGCCUGAAUACUGUGUGCAUGGAAUAAUGGAAUAGGACCUCGGUUCUAUUUUGUUGGUUUUCGGAACCCGAGGUAAUGAUUAAUAGGGACAGGCGGGGGCAUUCGUAUUGCGACGUUAGAGGUGAAAUUCUUGGAUCGUCGCAAGACGAACCUAAGCGAAAGCAUUUGCCAAGUAUGUUCUCGUUAAUCAAGAACGAAAGUUAGAGGUUCGAAGGCGAUCAGAUACCGCCCUAGUUCUAACCAUAAACGAUGCCAGCCAGCGAUCCGCCGAAGUUCCUCCGAUGACUCGGCGGGCAGCUUCCGGGAAACCAAAGCUUUUGGGUUCCGGGGGAAGUAUGGUUGCAAAGCUGAAACUUAAAGGAAUUGACGGAAGGGCACCACCAGGAGUGGAGCCUGCGGCUUAAUUUGACUCAACACGGGAAACCUCACCAGGCCCGGACACCGGAAGGAUUGACAGAUUGAGAGCUCUUUCUUGAUUCGGUGGGUGGUGGUGCAUGGCCGUUCUUAGUUGGUGGAGCGAUUUGUCUGGUUAAUUCCGAUAACGAACGAGACUCUAGCCUGCUAACUAGGCGAUUUCCGGUACCCACAACAGUGUUACCGGCGAUUCAAUUUCUUCUUAGAGGGACAGGCGGCUCCUAGCCGCACGAGACUGAGCAAUAACAGGUCUGUGAUGCCCUUAGAUGUCCUGGGCCGCACGCGCGCUACACUGAAGGAAUCAGCGUGUCAUCCCUGGCCGACAGGCCCGGGUAACCCGUUGAACCUCCUUCGUGCUAGGGAUUGGGGCUUGCAAUUGUUCCCCAUGAACGAGGAAUUCCCAGUAAGCGCGAGUCAUAAGCUCGCGUUGAUUACGUCCCUGCCCUUUGUACACACCGCCCGUCGCUACUACCGAUUGAAUGAUUUAGUGAGGUCUUCGGACUGGUGCGCGGCGAUCGGUUCCACCGGCCGCCGAUGUUGCCGGAAAGAUGACCAAACUUGAUCAUUUAGAGGAAGUAAAAGU